GCAACCCUUAUCCUAUGGUUACCUCGCAAGAGGGUCUCUUAGGAAACUGCCGGCGAUGAGCUGGAGGAAGUGGGGACGACGUCAAGUCAUCAUGGCCCUUAUGUCCAGGGCUACACACGUGCUACAAUGGCUACUACAGAGGGAAGCAAGACCGCGAGGUAGGAGCCAAUCCCUAAAAGUAGUCGUAGUUGGGAUCGGAGUCUGCAACUCGACUCCGUGAACCUGGAAUCGCUAGUAAUCGCGGAUCAGAACGCCGCGGUGAAUACGUUCCCGGGCCUU
RNAcentral lists this ribosomal RNA (279 nucleotides) under uncultured Nitrospiraceae bacterium. RNAcentral describes it as "partial 16S ribosomal RNA". It matches the Rfam family "Bacterial small subunit ribosomal RNA", at positions 1098 to 1382 of the family's 1533-position model. The record is from RNAcentral. Lineage: Bacteria; Pseudomonadati; Nitrospirota; Nitrospiria; Nitrospirales; Nitrospiraceae.